GGAAAGCUUUAUUGAUCAAGGUGGGGUUAUGUGACGCCUUUGUCUGGUCGUUGAACACAAACGAAGUACGCGAAGUUGCAGCUAUGGCGAACUUUAAUCUAGACAAAACCCAAAGUCUAAACGACGCCCUAAGGGCUAUAUAUAUGGAGGAAGAGGGGGGGAUUUUGUGGCCCUUGGAGGAGGGGUCUGAAACCAACCCUAACUCUUGUUUCCCCACACAUACGGACUCUAAAAACAGCCUAUACUUAAGUAUUUCUAAAUUACAUGGGCCUAGCCCAAUAAUAAUGUGACGCGGCACCUAGAAUAGCCUCUGGACGAAAUUUAUGAAGUGGCAUCUCCUAUAUUUCGUCCAAGGCUUCUUGCACUCCUUAUGGUGGCUUCAAAGUCCUGAAAUCAUCACUUGUAACUCCGUUCUUGUUCUCCUUGCGUAUGCCAUCAUCUCCAUGCUUGGUCUUGCUCCAGUGUUCAUCCCUCUUAUCCAUGCCAGGCCCUUCAUUUUUAAGCAAAACCAAUGUAUCCAAUUUAGGCAGCAUCAUAUUCUCAUGAACAUUAGAAUCAUUACCAAGAAACGAAAGUACCUGAUAAUUUAAUUGGCGUGCGCGAGCUCUAGUAAUUGGUCCAGUAUGUAUAGCAGCAGGGGCUGUGGGUGUAACAAUGGUAUUGAUGUCCUCAUCAUCCUCCCCUUCUUGAAAUGUAGUCGUCCUCGACGGAAGCUCAUCUUCCUCACCCAAAUAAGGCUUCAAAUUUGCAAUGUUAAAAGUGGUACUAACCCCAAAAUCUGCAGGCAGCUCAAGUUUAUAUGCAUUAUGAUUUAUUUUCUCUAACACCUUAAAAGGACAAUCAGCACGUGGCAUUAGCUUUGAUUUGCGCAAAUUAGGAAACCUAUCCUUAUGCAAAUGUAACCAAACAAGAUCUCCAGGUGCAAAGACAACACGUUUUCUACCCUGAUCUCCAACUAGUUUAUAUUUAGUAUUCAUGCGCUCAAUAUUUUCCUUAGUUAACUCAUGCAUUUUUAAGAUCAAUUCAGCAGGUUGUUUAGCAUCAAAAUUAAACUUCUCCGAAGAUGGAAGAGGCAACAAAUCAAUAGGUGCACGAGGUAGGAAACCAUACACAAUUUCAAAAGGGCACAUCUUAGUAGUAGAAUGCAGCGACCGAUUAUAAGCAAAUUCAAUAUGAGGCAAGCAUUCUUCCCACAUUUUCUUGUUAUUCUUCGAAACAGCCCUAAGCAUGGUAGACAAUGUUCUAUUGACUACUUCACUUUGUCCAUCAGUUUGGGGAUGACAUGUAGUACUAAAAAGCAGUUUAGUCCCCAACUUAGCCCAUAAACAUCUCCAAAAGUGGCUAAGAAAUUUAGUAUCACGAUCAAAAACAAUAGUAUUGGCACACCAUGCAAGCAAAUAAUUUCAUGAAAGAACAAAUCAGCAACAUUAACAGCAUCAUCGCUUUUAUGACAUGGUAUAAAGUGUGCCAUUUUCGAGAACCUAUCCACGACAACAAAUAUGAUAUCCCUCCCCUUCUUUGUUCGAGGUAAACCUAAAACAAAGUCCAUAGAUAUAUCCUCCCAAGGAACACUAGGUACAGGCAAAGGCAUAUAUAAACCAUGAGGAUUGAGUCGUGACUUAGCUUUUUGACAUGUAGUGCAGCGAGCAACAAAACGCUCAACAUCCCGUCUCAUCUUUGGCCAAAAGAAAUGUGUAGCAAGUAUACCCUCCGUCUUCUUCACGCCAAAGUGUCCCAUUAAUCCUCCUCCAUGCGCCUCCUGCAACAAAAAAAGAUGAACGGAGCUAGCUGGAAUGCAUAGCUUGUUAGCACGAAACAAAAAUCCAUCGUUAACGACGAACUUGUUCCAAGUUCUCCCUUCCUUACAAUUCUGCAAUACAUCUUUAAAUUCAGCAUCAUGCACAUAUUGAUCUUUGAUGGUCUCCAAACCAAAUAUGUAAAAGUCAAGUUGUGAAAGCAUAGUAUAACGACGAGACAAUGCAUCAGCAAUAACAUUUUCUUUACCCUUCUUGUGUUUAAUGACAUAAGGGAAAGUCUCAAUGAAUUCAACCCAUUUAGCAUGUCUACGGUUCAGUUUUUCUUGACUUUUAAUGUGUUUCAAAGAUUCAUGAUCAGAAUGUAUAACAAAUUCCUUGGGCCAUAAAUAAUGUUGCCAUGUUUCUAAGGUCCGAACAAGAGCAUAUAAUUCUUUAUCAUAAGUAGAAUAAUUCAGACUAGGCCCACCCAAUUUUUCAGAAAAGUAUGCAACAGGUUUGCCAUCUUGUAAUAACACACCUCCUAAUCCAAUUCCACUAGCAUCACAUUCAAGCUCAAAAGUCUUAUUAAAAUCAGGAAGUGGGAGUAAAGGAGCAUGUGUCAACUUAUCUUUCAAUACCGUGAAGGCUUCUGCCUGUGCGGUACCCCAAACAAAAGGCACAUCCUUCUUUGUAAGCUCGUUGAGAGGUGCAGCAAUGUUGCUGAAAUCUCUCACAAAACGCCUAUAGAAACCAGCGAGGCCAAGGAAACUCCUCACUUGUGUGACUGUUUUGGGUUGCGGCCAACUCAAGCUUUAAUCUUGGCUUUAUCAACUUCAAUUCCCUGUGGAGUAACAACAUAGCUAAGAAAAUAGAUUCGGUCGAUGCAAAAGGUGCACUUUCCAAGGUUACCAAACAAACGUGCAUCACGUAGAGCAAUAAAAACAGCACGUAAAUGUUCCAGAUGUUCCUCCAAAGAUUUACUAUAAAUUAGCAUAUCAUCAAAAUAGACUACCACAAAUCGUCCAAUGAAAGCACGUAAAACUUCGUUCAUUAAUCUCAUGAAAGUACUAGGUGCAUUAGUUAACCCAAAAGGCAUGACUAACCACUCAUAUAAACCAAACUUAGUUUUAAAUGCAGUUUUCCAUUCAUCUCCCAAUUUCAUACGAAUUUGAUGGUAUCCACUACGCAAAUCAACUUUGGGGAAAAUUGUAGAGCCACUCAAUUCAUCAAGCAUAUCAUCUAGCCUAGGAAUAGGAUGACGAUAACGAAUAGUAAUAUUAUUAAUGCCUCUACAAUCAACACACAUAUGCAUGUACCAUCUUUUUUCGGCACUAGAAUAAUAGGAACAGCACAAGGACUAAGGGAUUCGCAAAUAUAACCUUUGUCGAGCAGCUCCUGGACUUGACGCAUAAUCUCCUUCGUCUCCUCUGGAUUGGUACGGUAUGGUGCACGGUUGGGUAGCGAAGCACCGGGAAUUAAGUCAAUCUGAUGCUCAAUCCCUCGAAUAGGUGGUAAUCCCGGUGGCACGUCUUGUGGAAAGACGUCAGCGAACUCCUGCAAAAUGUUAGUAACGACAGGAGGCAAAGAGGAAGGCACGUCCUCGGAUGAAAAUAAUGCCUCUUUGCACACAAAAGCAUAGCAAAUAGAUUUGCUAAAAUCUAGCUCACCAAUAUCAAAUUUGGUGGCAAGUAAACAUGCACUUUUCAAUUUAAUUUCAGAAGCUACACUAGAUGGUUUAUUAUCAGGCUUCAUUUGUUGCUCAAAUUCUUUUGCCACAAUCUGAUUUUCACUCUUAUUUUUCUCCUGUUUUGCUUUAUUAGCUCUAUUAAUAUCAUCUUCCAAAAUGGAAUCAGGAGUCAUAGGAAGCAAAGUAAUAUUUUUAUCCUUAUGAACAAGAGUAUACUGAUUGUUUCUACCAUGGUGUACAGAAUUUUUAUCAAGUUGGCAUGGUCUACCAAGUAAUAAGGAACAUGCUUGCAUGGGUACCACAUCACAAUCAACAUAAUCAGCAUAUGUAGAGAUACUAAAAUGCACACGAACAGUACGUGUUACCUUAACCUUGCCGCUGUUGUUGAACCAUUGGAUGUAGUAAGGAUGUGGAUGUGGUCUUGUGGUGAGAGAUAGCUUCUCCACCAUCUCCAUGCUAGCCAAGUUGUUGCAGCUCCCUCCAUCUAUGAUGACUCGAAUAGAACGUUCCUUCACAACUCCCUUUGUAUGGAACAAAUUAUGCCUCUGAUUUUGCUCAGCUUGUGUAACCUGCACACUCAAAACACGUUGAGCAACUAAACAUUCAUACCUGUCAGCGUCUUCAGGAGCCAUGUAUUGCGUCUCAUUUUCAGAAUCAUCUCCACCGUGUUCUUCACGUGUUAUAAGAGCCAAAGUCUCCUCAUCAUAGUCACUAGCGGACUCAUAACCACCAUCCUCAGUGGCAAUCAUCACACGCUGAGAUUUGCAUUCUCUCGCAUAAUGACCACUUCCCUUACAACAACGACAAAUAAUAUCACUUGUGUGCCCUGUUGAUGCCAUGGAAGAAGAAGAGCUCUGUACAGGCCCGACAGGUGUGCUCUUGGUAGAUAGUGGUGGUUGUGCCUGCUUUCUUGUAUCACGACUGGAGGUGGCAGCUGAUGGAGGUGCCGAUGCAGUAGAAUAUGUGGAAGUAGAGGAUGCACGCGGUGUCCAUGUGGAAGGUCGACCUGCAGAAAAGUUAGUUCGUGCCAAUGCCUGUCGAUCCUGCACUUCACGUUCAGCUUUACAAGCAAGAUGGAAUAAACGAGUGAUAUUAGUAUACUCCUUAUACUCUAGAAUGGUCUAAAUCUCUCUAUUUAAUCCACCCAUAAAACGUGCAAGCAUAGCUUCAUUAUCCUCAACAAUACCACAUCUAAUCAUGCCAGUUUGUAAUUCCUGAUAAUAUUCCUCUACAGAAUUUUUUCCUUGCCUUAAACGCUGCAAUUUUUGAAGUAAUUCACGUUGAUAACAUGGUGGAACCCAACGAGUACGCAUAGCAGUUUUCAAAGCAGCCCAAGUAGUUGGAAUAUUAUUUGGAUAUAAUCUACGAUGUUCAGACCACCACACACAAGCAAAACUAGUGAAAGCACAAAGUUCGGUUUCUAACUCCCAAGUAAGAUAUAUAUCAGGAACGUAUCUACCUUCAAAUGGUGGAAUAUUCAAUUUCAGUUUAGGGAGAUGGUCGUGAUCUCGUACCUGAGGGGGUGGUGCAGCCCAACCAUUGCGAUUAUUUGCAUGUGGACGACCUGGUGGUUGUGGUGCUGGUGGUUGUGGUGCUGGUGGUUGCACGUAGUUCUGAUUUUGAUCAACCUCAUCCUCAUAAUCUCCCGCAUAAUCAUCCUCCUCCUCAUCAGCAGCAGGAGCCACAGAAGUAUCAACAGCAGCACCAACAGUUUGGCCAUGCUCAAGAGGGACACGGCUCGCUCGGCGGAGGGUUGUUUCGCGACGUGGAGGUAGUCGUUGUUGGUGGUGGUGGUGGUGCAGAGGUGCGGCAGGUGCGGCCGGUGGUGGUUGUGGAAGACGCGCAAGCAGUUCAUUAAAUUUGUUAUCGAGCUUUGUUUCGAAGUCUUCUCAAGGCCAGUUAUCUUAUCCAUGGCCUCUUCAAAAUUGUUCAGCACAUCUUGCACCUGUUCAGUCAUCAUUUGCUGAAAUUUAUCAUGCAACUCCUUAUUCGUCAUGUUCUCCCAGUCAGUCUCAUCGACUUGUGAUCUUGCCAUGGUUAGCAGCAAUAGAAACACACAAGAAUAUGAUCCUACAGACUACUAGAAAAUGGUGGUGUUGGGGCAUCACAAAUCCGUCAAGCAAAUCUCAAAUUCUUACCAGUUCUUACCAAGCAGCAGGUCGUGAUCGGCUACCGUUGUAGUCAAAACUCUGAAAGCUUGGAUAGAGCGAUUACCAGGGAGAGUCAAACGCACGACGUAGAUGUAUGUGGAGCUGGGAAGGCUUAUAAUAUGGUAGCAAAAAGGAUCAGCAAUAAUCAAUUUAGAGAUGCCAAGUUGAAUAAAUGCUCAACAACAGUACUGUGCUAGUCCUAGGUUAGACCGUACUAGAGACGCGAGCCUAGAACACGAACAAAAUCACGGCGCGACAGGGAAAAGCACACUGAAAAAAUUGCUCUUUUUUUGCGCUCUUUUUUUGCGAAAAAUCACUAUAAUGGCGAGUGUCUCAAAACUCUUCCCAAGUCAAACUAACAGGAUAGGCACAAAAAAAAUUUGACAAUUUUUUUUCGGAAAUCAGGGCAGCGACAGACGAAAAAGUGCAACAAAAAAUCACUAUGAUGGCGAGUGUCUCAAAACGCUCCCUGGGACCUAAAAACAGGAUAAGGAAAAAAUAUUUUCGGUCGCCGAAAUUUUGGCCUAAAAACUGACCGGGGGUCUCCAGACUUUUUUUUCCCGAAACCUACUCAGGCAAGGAAACACGAAUCGGAAAUUAGAUGGAUCUCGAAAACAAACCUAAUAUGAAAGGAACUCGGAUUGAUGGUAGAUAUAUGGUGGUAGGAUAUGGCAGCGGUGGUGGUAUAUGGUAGCGGUGGUGGUAUAUGGAUACGGAUCGGUGGUGGUAUAUGGAUACAGAUCGGUGGUGGUAUAUGGAUACGGUGGUGGUAUACGGAUACGAAUCGAUGGUAUAUGGCAGCGUUAGUGGGAUAUGGCAGCGGUGGUGGUAUAUGGCAGCGGUGGUGGGAUAUGGCAGCAGCGAUGAUGAUGGCGCGGCGGCGGCGUGACAAACUGUGACAGAACUCGAAACUCUAAAGGACUAGACGCUAAGACCAGCAACUAGACACGACGAUGCAACCGCAAAUUCAACAAAGCAAAACCCUAAAAAAGAUUAUGCAAAGACUCAAAUUGGUUCAGAUAUGAUGAACUAACCCUAAUUUUUUUUGGCUUUUUCAUGGAGUGUAGGUAUGAAGAACAGACUCAAUCUAAACUACGAAAAACUGUAAAAUCUCACCGAGCAACCUGGAACUCUGAUACCACUUGAUAGAGGCAAAGGUGUCCCGUCUUUCGAUGAGAUGGUGGCUAUCGUUUUGGAAGAAGUGGACUUUGAUGAUCCGACUACGAACUUGCGAGGACGUCGCGCCUUAGCAAUCGCUAAACCAACUCCGAGAGGUUAUUGACCACGCCGGAGCACGAUCAACCUGACCACGAAGGUCUGUUUCUUGCAGGCAAACGAAGAACAAGCAAGAAACUAAGAUUGCAAUCUGGAUAUUGCGAAUAUAAGAGGAAAGCUUUAUUGAUCAAGGUGGGGUUCUGUGACGCCUUUUUCUGGUCGUUGAACACAAACAAAGUACACGAAGUUGCAACUAUGGCAAACUUUAAUCUAAACAAAACUCAAAGUCUAAACGACGCCCUAAGGGUUGUAUAUAUGGAGGAAGAGGGGGGAUUCGUGGCCCUUGGAGGUGGGGUCCGAAACCAACCCUAACUCUUGUUUUCCCACACAUACGGACUCUAAAAACAGCCUAUACUUAAGUAUUUCGAAAUUACAUAGGCCUGGCCCAAUAAUAAGGUGACGCAGCAUCUAGAAUAGCCUCUGGACAAAAUUUAUGAAGUGG
This 7290-nucleotide long non-coding RNA is filed under the name Triticum aestivum (bread wheat). RNAcentral describes it as "long non-coding RNA (TAES_LNC017968)". The record is from RNAcentral. Lineage: Eukaryota; Viridiplantae; Streptophyta; Magnoliopsida; Poales; Poaceae.